RNAcentral lists this ribosomal RNA (464 nucleotides) under uncultured bacterium. RNAcentral describes it as "partial 16S ribosomal RNA". It matches the Rfam family "Bacterial small subunit ribosomal RNA", at positions 28 to 507 of the family's 1533-position model. The record is from RNAcentral.
GACGAACGCUGGCGGCGUGCUUAACACAUGCAAGUCGAGCGGUAAGGCCUCUUCGGGGGCACACGAGCGGCGAACGGGUGAGUAACACGCGGGUGACCUGCCCUCAGCUCAGGGAUAAGCCUGGGCAACUGGGUCUAAUACCGGAUAUGACCUUUCAUCGCAUGGGGGUUGGGGGGAAGUUUUGUCGGUUGGGGAUGGGCUCGCGGCCUGUCAGCUUGUUUGUGGGGUGAUGGCCUGCCCAGGCGACGAAGGGUAGCCGGCCUGAGAGGGUGAGCGGCCAGACUGGGUUGGAGCCACGGCCCGGCCUCCUUCCCGCGGGAGGCCUGCGGUGUGUAUAUUGCGCGGUGGGCGGAAGCCUCACGCAGCGACGCCGCGUGGGGGAUGCCGUCCGUCGGGUUGUAUACCUCUUUCGACCCCGACGAAUUUUGACGGUAGGGGUAGAAGAAGCACCGGCCAACUACGUG